This 465-nucleotide ribosomal RNA is filed under the name Triticum aestivum (bread wheat). Its description in RNAcentral is "partial small subunit ribosomal RNA". Lineage: Eukaryota; Viridiplantae; Streptophyta; Magnoliopsida; Poales; Poaceae. The record is from RNAcentral.
AUGUCUUCUUCAAGCUCCCGCGCCACCUCGCGGAUCCAGAGCCCGUCGCGCGUGGAGAUGCCGAUCUUCGUCUGUCCGCGGUGCCGGGUGGGCGUUGAUCGGAGGGUUUCUCGCGCACUGAAGAACCAUAAUCAUCCGUUUUACAUGUGCAGCGAGAAUGGGGUGAAAUGUUUCUUCCUUUGGGUAGAUGCUCUGGCCAAGACUCUAAUGAAACUGCAAGAAGAGCAUGAAGAAUGGUUGCCCAUCCUGCCACGAACGGCAGUGGCCGCAACACGAGCUCCGGAAGAAGAGUCGGAGCGCAGAGCACGCAAUGAUAGAGAGCUGGCAGUUGAGCUUAGGAGGUUGCAUAAGAAGGUUUGGAAGCUCGAAGAUCAAGCAUAAAUACCCACUUGCAAUUCCUUUUGGGUAUUUGUUGGGAUGGUAAUCGCACUGGGUGUAAUGCUGAAAUUGUAUGGAAAGGCAUGA